GCAAGUCGAGCGGAAACGAAGAUAGCUUGCUCUCAGGCGUCGAGCGGCGGACGGGUGAGUAACGCGUAGGAACCUACCUAGUAGCGGGGGAUAGCCCGGAGAAAUCCGGAUUAAUACCGCAUACGCCCCACGGGGGAAAGCAGAGGAUCUUCGGACUUUGCGCUAUUAGAUGGGCCUGCGUGAGAUUAGCUAGUUGGUAAGGUAAUGGCUUACCAAGGCGACGAUCUCUAGCUGGUCUGAGAGGAUGAUC
Molecule: ribosomal RNA, 250 nt
Filed under: uncultured bacterium
Lineage: Bacteria
Description: partial 16S ribosomal RNA
Rfam family: Bacterial small subunit ribosomal RNA
Source: RNAcentral